CCCAGGUGGGGCUGAGUUGUCCAGCUGUCCCUCAAGAGUGAAGCCUGGGAGCUGUAAGCCCCUGCUUCUCUUUCCUGGAGCCCCAUAACACCGAAGAUCUUGGUGUGGGGAGCAUGGGGUGAUUGGGAAGUUUGAAGAACGGUGGAAAAGAGAACCAGCAUGUUUGGGGCAUGGAAUUUAGUCCUUACUGCCUGUGAGUGAAGAGGCACCGUGAUUAGGUGGCCAAUUAUAAUCUCGGUGCCUAGAGAGACAGUCUGUGACUGAGUCUGCCUGGCUACCAGCUACUCUGACCGGCUUUGCACAACUGGUGUUUGAACAGAGACUGACGUUGAUCUGAUAUUGCCAGGUAACGCAAUAGCAUGGCAGCUUUCAGAAAAUGAUAUUAAAUUACUGUAAAAGCACAUUUUACCCUUUGUGAUAUUCCCUGAGAGUUAGAAACGUAUUC
Equus quagga is the source of this 445-nucleotide long non-coding RNA. RefSeq lists it as uncharacterized. The transcript is spliced from 3 exons. The record is from RefSeq and is a predicted model, not a curated record. Lineage: Eukaryota; Metazoa; Chordata; Mammalia; Perissodactyla; Equidae.